Long non-coding RNA from Solanum dulcamara, 216 nucleotides. RefSeq lists it as uncharacterized. The record is from RefSeq and is a predicted model, not a curated record. Lineage: Eukaryota; Viridiplantae; Streptophyta; Magnoliopsida; Solanales; Solanaceae. The transcript has 3 exons.
GGGAAAAAUUCCAAGUUUUUCAACUUUGAUCCAAAAAUCUUAUCUUCUUGAAUUCUUGUCAAGUUCGAGGCCCUCUUCAACGUGGUAUAAUUAAUUGAGCGAGAAAAUUUCAUUUGUGGCAAGUCGAAAAUUCAAGAAAAGAUUUUGGAAGAAACGGGAUUUGAAUUUGAGUGAGCGUAAGAAGCGGAUAAGGUAUAGACGUUCUAGAUCUAUCGG